AGGGUUUGAUUAUGGCUCAGGACGAACGCUGGCGGCGUGCCUAAUACAUGCAAGUAGAACGCUGAAGAGAGGAGCUUGCUCUUCUUGGAUGAGUUGCGAACGGGUGAGUAACGCGUAGGUAACCUGCCUUGUAGCGGGGGAUAACUAUUGGAAACGAUAGCUAAUACCGCAUAACAAUGGAUGACACAUGUCAUUUAUUUGAAAGGGGCAAUUGCUCCACUACAAGAUGGACCUGCGUUGUAUUAGCUAGUAGGUGAGGUAACGGCUCACCUAGGCGACGAUACAUAGCCGACCUGAGAGGGUGAUCGGCCACACUGGGACUGAGACACGGCCCAG
Molecule: ribosomal RNA, 336 nt
Filed under: uncultured bacterium
Lineage: Bacteria
Description: bacterial SSU rRNA
Rfam family: Bacterial small subunit ribosomal RNA
Source: RNAcentral